AUUGAACGCUGGCGGAAUGCUUUACACAUGCAAGUCGAACGGUAGAGGGGGCAACCCCUUGAGAGUGGCGAACGGGUGAGUAAUAUAUCGGAACGUGCCCAGUCGUGGGGAUAACGUAGCGAAAGUUACGCUAAUACCGCAUACGAUCUAAGGAUGAAAGCGGGGGAUCGCAAGACCUCGCGCGAUUGGAGCGGCCGAUAUCAGAUUAGGUAGUUGGUGAGGUAAAGGCUCACCAAGCCAACGAUCUGUAGCUGGUCUGAGAGGACGACCAGCCACACUGGAACUGAGACACGGUCCAGACUCCUACGGGAGGCAGCAGUGGGGAAUUUUUGGACAAUGGACGCAAGUCUGAUCCAGCCAUUCCGCGUGCAGGAUGAAGGCCCUCGGGUUGUAAACUGCUUUUGUACGGAACGAAAAGGUUUCUAUUAAUACUAGGAGCUCAUGACGGUACCGUAAGAAUAAGCACCGGCUAAACUACGUGCCAGCAGCCG
This 491-nucleotide ribosomal RNA is filed under the name uncultured bacterium. RNAcentral's name for it is "bacterial SSU rRNA". It matches the Rfam family "Bacterial small subunit ribosomal RNA", at positions 30 to 517 of the family's 1533-position model. The record is from RNAcentral.